RNAcentral lists this long non-coding RNA (520 nucleotides) under Linum usitatissimum (flax). RNAcentral describes it as "long non-coding RNA (LUSI_LNC001801)". Lineage: Eukaryota; Viridiplantae; Streptophyta; Magnoliopsida; Malpighiales; Linaceae. The record is from RNAcentral.
GUGCAUAUAAUCAUUGAUCGGGUUAUCUCUCAUAGCAACAUUAGCAAUGUCAACACUCUGAAUAAGAUCCGCUAUGUCUACCAUUAUUUGCUGGUUUGCCGGAUAUUCUGUUUCAUACAAAUCAUAUAUCUUCAAUAUGAAUUGUGCUGAUCUUUUAGGUCCCCAAAAACAAGGAUGGUUAAACACCAUUAACCAUCUGCACCUGCACAUAUCAUUAGACAAAAAAGGAGGGAAAUGCUUCCAUCCAAACAAUAACAUGAUGAAAAUUACACAAACAAACAGUAGGAUGAUGAAAAUGGGACAAACAAACAGUAAUAUAAUAAAAAUACCUCAAGCCAAGUACGCCAUCAUCAUUGAUUAAUUUCAGCACGUGCUUCAAAUAUGCAUCGAAAUGAUUCUGAAUGAUCCCUUGACUACCAAACAAGUGUUGGAUUAUACGGCUCAAACUAAUUAGUUCACUCGACCACUCAUCUUUGACCCGCUGAUAACCAUUUUCAGGAUGCAAAGUUACAGAAGCUAU